RNAcentral lists this ribosomal RNA (229 nucleotides) under uncultured bacterium. RNAcentral's name for it is "partial 16S ribosomal RNA". It matches the Rfam family "Bacterial small subunit ribosomal RNA", at positions 104 to 334 of the family's 1533-position model. The record is from RNAcentral.
CGGGGUGAGUAAUGUCUGGGAAACUGCCUGAUGGAGGGGGAUAACUGCUGGAAACGGUAGCUAAUACCGCAUAACGUCGCAAGACCAAAGAGGGGGACCUUCGGGCCUCUUGCCAUCGGAUGUGCCCAGAUGGGAUUAGCUAGUAGGUGGGGUAACGGCUCACCUAGGCGACGAUCCCUAGCUGGUCUGAGAGGAUGACCAGCCACACUGGAACUGAGAUACGGUCCAG